This 107-nucleotide small nuclear RNA is filed under the name Clonorchis sinensis. The record is from RNAcentral. Lineage: Eukaryota; Metazoa; Platyhelminthes; Trematoda; Opisthorchiida; Opisthorchiidae.
GUAUCCUCUUCGGCGUUACGUAUACUGAAACUGAAACGAAACAAGGAAUAUUAGUAUGGCCCCGCGCAAGAAUGAGACGCAAAAUCCUGAAGGCGUUCCAUAUUUUU